Molecule: ribosomal RNA, 254 nt
Filed under: uncultured bacterium
Lineage: Bacteria
Description: partial 16S ribosomal RNA
Rfam family: Bacterial small subunit ribosomal RNA
Source: RNAcentral
UACGGAGGAUCCAAGCGUUAUCCGGAUUCAUUGGGUUUAAAGGGUGCGUAGGCGGAAUGAUAAGUCAGUGGUGAAAGCCUGUUGCUUAACAACAGAACUGCCAUUGAUACUGUCAAUCUUGAGUACAUUUGAUGUGGGCGGAAUGUGCCAUGUAGCGGUGAAAUGCGUAGAUAUCAAGAGGAACACCUGAGGUGAAGACGGGUUGCUGGGCCGACACUGACGCUGAGUGCGCGAAAGCCAGGGGAGCAAACGGG